GAUGAACGCUGGCGGCGUGCCUAAUACAUGCAAGUCGAGCGAACAGACGAGGAGCUUGCUCCUCUGACGUUAUCGGCGGACGGGAGAGUCACACGUGGAUAACCUACCUCUCAGACUGGGAUACCUUCGGGAGACCAGAUCUACUACCGGAUAAUAUAUUGACCCGCAUGGUUCCCUCGUGAAAGUCGGUUUUGCUUUCACUUAUAGAUUAAUACGCGCCGCAUUAGCUAGUUGUUUAGGUAACGGGUUACCAAGGCGACGAUGCGUAGCCGACCUGAGCGGGUGAUCGGCUACACGGGAAGAGAGACACGGCCCAGACUCCUACGGGAGGCAGCAGUAGGGAAUCUUCCGCAAGGGGCGAAAGCCUGACGGAGCAACGUCGCGUGAGUGAUGAAGGUGCUCGGAUCGGAAAACUAUGAUAGUAGGGAAGAACAAAUGUGUAAGUAACUAUGAACGUAUUGACGGUACCUAAACAGAAAGCCACGGCUAACUACGUG
This 497-nucleotide ribosomal RNA is filed under the name uncultured bacterium. RNAcentral's name for it is "partial 16S ribosomal RNA". It matches the Rfam family "Bacterial small subunit ribosomal RNA", at positions 28 to 507 of the family's 1533-position model. The record is from RNAcentral.